Molecule: long non-coding RNA, 1921 nt
Organism: Pogoniulus pusillus (Red-fronted tinkerbird)
Lineage: Eukaryota; Metazoa; Chordata; Aves; Piciformes; Lybiidae
Exons: 2
Source: RefSeq, a predicted model, not a curated record
UCAAUUGAUGUUAAACCAGAAAGCACUGAAAUGUGAACAACCUAUUGAAAAUGGUGUUACAGUUUUUACUGAUGCUUCUGGGAAAACACACAAAUAUGGCUAUGCUAAAUGGUGUGACACUUCCAAACAAUGGAAGACUGUAGUGAAAGAACUAGAAGGAGUUUCUGUUCAAUGUCUUGAACUCAAAGCAGUAACAAUGGUGUUUGAAGACUUUGUAAAUAUCCCUGUAAAUAUUAUUACUGAUUCUAUGUAUGUAGCUUCUGUUGUGAAUCGAGUAGAGGAGUCAAUUAUUGGACACAUUUCUAACAAGGUUAUUGAAGCUGUGAUUAUUCAAUUGUUGAAUUUGAUUCUAAACAGAAAAUGUUUAUAUUUUUGUACUCAUAUUCGUAGUCAUACUAACUUGCCUGGAUUCUUGUCAGAAGGAAACGCGAAAGCCGAUGAGGUGGUGAGUGCUGGAGCCCAACAAAAUGAUACUGAUGAACCUUCUGUUUCUGUCAAAUCAGCCACACAGGCAAUUAAGCAAGCACAAGUAAGUCAUGCAUUCUUUCACCAAUCUGCAAAAAGUUUGUCUAAAGAAUUCUCUAUAUCUCUGCAAACUGCUCGUGGCAUUAUUGCCUCGUGUCCUGAUUGUGCCAAGGUCUCGCCCCUACAAUCAGAAGGCACUAAUCCUAGGGGGACUGAGGCAAGAGAGUUAUUUCAAACAGACAUUACAAUUGUUCCGUCAUUUGGACGUCUAAAAUAUGUUCAUGUCACAGUAGAUACCUAUAGUUCAGCCUUGUGGGCAUCUGCCAUGACAUCAUCGGGGGCGUCAGCAACGUGUCGACACUGGAGAAUGGCAUUUGCUGUAUUAGGAAACCCCCAAACAAUUAAGACAGACAAUGGUCCAAAUUAUAAAAGCCAAAUUGUUGAAGCAUUUCUUUCAGCCUGCAAUAUCAAACAUUUAUUUGGAAUUCCUUACAAUAGUACAGGACAGGCGAUUGUUGAAAGAAAGCAUUCUGAUCUCAAACGAUAUAUUGCCAUUUUUCAAAGACAGGGGGAGUUUUCCCAUUCCCACUCCCCCCACGAUAUUCUUUCAAAGGCCAUUUAUGUUUUAAAUUGGAAACUCUGGUCACAAAAGUCGAAUCAAGAAGUUGGGUCAACCCCUAUCUUUAGACAUUUUACUCAAAACAAUCCUUUAAAAGAAACACAUGUUUCUGUGCAAGUUUGGGACCCCUCAUCAGCCACCUGGAAUGGACCAUGGAGAUUAAUAACUUGGGGUCGUGGAUAUGCUUGUGUCAUUACAGAGGACGGAGAGCGGUGGUUGCCACCCAAGUGGGUGCGACCCUGGCUACAUGCUGAAACCAAGGAAAACAAGGAGGAUGAUCAAACGGCGAUAGAAGAAAUUGCUGACUUAGAAGCUGCACACAACAUCACCAGAGACAACUGAUCUGAGACCCUGCAUCUUCCGAUGUCUAUCCUGGCAGAUGCAUCGGAUCGCUGCUACAGUGUUUGAAAAGAAAGGGGGAGAUGUGGGGAAUUUUGUAGGGGCUGUUGCUUUGCAAUCAAUAUGUAGGCGAUUGGAACACAGCGGGUAAGACACCGGUCAGCCCAAGGACACUGUGUCCGCUUCGUGCUUUCUAUGAAAAAAAGCAGGGUUGGCCUGAGGAUGUUGCGUCCUUGUGGUACAGCUGUGCAAAGUAAAACAAAGUAAUGAAUCAGUCAUGAAUAUACCUUAGAACAAAGGAUCUGCACAUCUGGAAAUGUAGGGUUUGAUAUAUGAGCACACGUACUGCUUAUAAAAAUACCUUUUUGUAUCUACUAAUGAUUAUGCUUUAAACCACAAAAAUGUAUUGCAUGGACCAAUUAGAAAUCGACAUGUAAUCCUGUAAUAGUAUAAAAAGCCUUCUGAUUUGUGUAUUAAACGUCUUACAUUUACAAUCCA